This 328-nucleotide long non-coding RNA is filed under the name Prunus persica (peach). Its description in RNAcentral is "long non-coding RNA (PPER_LNC001921)". Lineage: Eukaryota; Viridiplantae; Streptophyta; Magnoliopsida; Rosales; Rosaceae. The record is from RNAcentral.
AGGUAGGAAUUCUAAUCUCCUACAAUUCCAUAGAGAAACUGAUGUCAACGAAGUGGGUAGGCCAUCUUUGGGGAACGCCGAUAGGGUUGGACAAUUCCAAACACACAAACGUUGAAGACGAUUGGUGUUGGGCAAGCACGGUAUGUCAUCAAAAUUUCCGACGUCAAGUACGGACAAUAACUUUGCCUCUUGUAAUGACACAUCUGUUUGGCAUCCAUAAUCUAAUUUAAUUUUCAAUUCUUGAAGAGAUUUGUAGGAGUUCAUGUUAAGACUGGUACCAGUAGUAGAAGUGGCCCUUUGAUCAUGUAACACCGCACACCCAUACACG